This 501-nucleotide ribosomal RNA is filed under the name uncultured soil bacterium. RNAcentral's name for it is "bacterial SSU rRNA". It matches the Rfam family "Bacterial small subunit ribosomal RNA", at positions 26 to 523 of the family's 1533-position model. The record is from RNAcentral.
AGAUUGAACGCUAGCGGGAUGCUUUACACAUGCAAGUCGAACGGCAGCGCGGACUUCGGUCUGGCGGCGAGUGGCGAACGGGUGAGUAAUAUAUCGGAACGUGCCCAGUAGCGGGGGAUAACUACGCGAAAGCGUGGCUAAUACCGCAUACGCCCUACGGGGGAAAGGGGGGGAUUCUUCGGAACCUCUCACUAUUGGAGCGGCCGAUAUCAGAUUAGCUAGUUGGUGAGGUAAAGGCUCACCAAGGCGACGAUCUGUAGCUGGUUUGAGAGGACGACCAGCCACACUGGGACUGAGACACGGCCCAGACUCCUACGGGAGGCAGCAGUGGGAAUUUGGACAAUGGGGGAAACCCUGAUCCAGCCAUCCCGCGUGUGCGAUGAAGGCCUUCGGGCUGUAAAGCACUUUUGGCAGGAAGAAACGGCGUGCCCUAAUACGGACGUCACGUGACGGUACCUGCAGAAUAAGCACCGGCUAACUACGUGCCAGCAGCCGCGGUAA